RNAcentral lists this ribosomal RNA (159 nucleotides) under Geoglossum sphagnophilum. Its description in RNAcentral is "5.8S ribosomal RNA". It matches the Rfam family "5.8S ribosomal RNA". From Rfam's summary of the family: 5.8S ribosomal RNA (5.8S rRNA) is a component of the large subunit of the eukaryotic ribosome. It is transcribed by RNA polymerase I as part of the 45S precursor that also contains 18S and 28S rRNA. The record is from RNAcentral. Lineage: Eukaryota; Fungi; Ascomycota; Geoglossomycetes; Geoglossales; Geoglossaceae.
AAACUUUCAACAAGGGAUCUCUUGGUUCCCGGAUCGCUGAAGAACGCAGCGAAGUGCGAUAAGUAAUGUGAAUUGCAGAAUUCAGUGAAUCAUCGAAUCUUUGAACGCACAUUGCGCCCUUUGGAAUUCCGAAGGGCAUGCCUGUUCGAGCGUCAUGAC